CUAUCAAACUGAAUUGUGAUACUUCUUUCAGUUCUAAAAGUUGAUAUUUUAGGCAUUGAGACUGUUUGGAGAAACUAUCAAGGCCAGAUGGCUGAUGGUUGGAGGAAUUUUGUUAGAUACUGUUGCCUCUGCUGGAGCUGCAGCUGCAGAAACCCUGCCCGUGAAAGAAGCGUUGAAAUUCCAGUGUAGAAUCAAUUAUUGUCAAGCUAUUAUGCAAAACUGAUUCUCUCAACCUCUUCAACUGUAUUAGUAAAGAAUUCUGCUAUUCCAUGAGACAACAAGAGACUUAGAAAGAAAUUUGUGAAAGACAACAACCAUAUUAGGGCUGUCUUGGACCAACACAGGCCUGCAAAUUAGGUAGCAAAUGUUACUAGACUCUUCUUGUAUUUGUCCAGCUAACUGAAUGUUCUGCUCGCCAAGUUUUUUACUAUUUAGAAAAUUAAUCUUAUUGUUAAAAACAUAUUAUUUGGAUUUAUUUUUAUUUUUUUUCGAAAUGUAAAUUUGUAUCAACAUAAUCAUACAAGACAUGUUGGAUAAAGCUGAAACUCUGGAGUUUACAGAAAUGCUAAAACAAAUAAAGGACUGCGUCGUUGUUAGUCAAUCGUAACUGCUGUUCUGUCAAAAGAACAGGUAAUCAAACCCACCUAUCUCUGUCUCAAUGUUUUUGUGCCGGUGACCAACUGUUGUUGGCAUGCAAGUACGCGCACAAAGAACUAUGACAAAAAGGGUUGUCAGGAAAUCUCCAAAGUGUUUUUUCAUGAGUAUAGGGGAGUUUACCUUGUGAAAAUAGGAUUCAACCUUGCCAAGGUGCUGGUCCAAAGGAGGCAUUACUUUCCACUUCUCCAGUUUGGUAGCUAUCUCUUCUAAUUUCAGAUAUAGUGAUGCUGCUGUUCUCAGUGAUUCCAGUUUCUUUAUUGGAAACCCUUCAAACUUUACCAGUACCUGCAUUUGAGGAGAUGAAUUGGUAGGUUUUCACCUCACUUUAGGCCAAGAAUUCAGGGCUAUUUUUUUGUAAUUUCUUUUUGAGAGUCAGCAAUUCACAUUAUAUAUGUGAAAUAGCUCAGAAUUGAAGAUGUAGAAGUCACUGAAUUGAUCAGUCACCUCACCUGUGUCUCAUCAGUCAAUUUCUCCAAUUGUUGCUCCACAUGCUUGUGAAAUUUAACAAGCUCAGCCAUGUCCUUGGUUUGGAAGGACUUGAUAGCAUCUUUGAUCUCCAUGAUUAAUUUGGCAUGCUUCCUGACAUCCUCUUCAAUCUGUUGGAAAUAUGCCGAUCUAUGAUGUCCAUAGAAGAAAAUCGAGUUCUAAGUAAGAGUAAACCAUAACAGUUUUGUUCUAGUCUGACAUUCCAUGAGCAGCAGUAGUUGGAAGCCUACCUUUUUGUCAUCUCUGCCAGUGCAUCAGCCAUUCCCUGUUUUCCUCCUGCAGAUUUUCCAAGUUGAGGUCUUCCUCCUUCAGAAGGGCCUUUGCCUCUAUAAGUGGAGGGGGAGGUGGUGGUUCAGCUCCUUUUGCCUGUAAUGUGGGAAUUGGUGGCUCUGAUACUGAUCCUCUAGAAGGUGGUGCUGGUGUAGAAGGAGGUACUGUGCCAUAUGAAGGCAGAUUGACUGGUGGCAAUGGAGUGCUUGAUGGCAUAUUUGGAGCAGGAUUGGAUGCUACGGCUGGAGGUGAUGGCUUUGGUACUGCUGCUGGUCCUUUUGAGUGAGACAUCACAUUUGAGGAUACAAGUUGAAUGGAAGGUACUUCAUUUCAAUUGGCCUCAAUUUCUCCACCGCCUUAACUCUGGGAGGCAAUGGAGAAGGUGAGGCAUAUGUAGCAUUUGCAAACUCACUGAGUUCCACAGAGAAAGAAAUUGCAGGAGAGAAUGAUGCUGGAGUAUCUGGAGAAGGACAUGUGAGUUUCUUGUUUGAAUAGGACUCGGUCAAUGCAUCUCCAAUUGUGAAAUCUUGUAUCGUGCCACCACUAUCCAUUUCAUCUUCUUCCAUUAUAUCGAACAUUUUCUUUGCGAUGUCAAUCAUGUGGUUGAGCUUUUUAAGGACUUUUUGACCUUCAACAUAAAAUAUGUAUCGCGUUGAAUUAUGAUACGAUUUAUAUAGCAUUUUUGGCAGAAGGAAAGGCAUUUACCAAGUUGCUCCAGAGUGAUAUCUUCCAUAAUGUCACUUGUAUCAUUGCCAAUGUUAGUUACCCACUUGUGAUUUCUGGCCCACGAAUCUCCUAUGCAUUUCAGAGCAUCAUCAAGGUAAAUGAACCUGAUUUAAGGAGGUUUCUUCCAUUUCUGUUGUCAAUUUACAGUUUACAACCUUUGGGUAUAAGCUGUAGAGAUCUUCAACAGUGACCAUCACCAACUGCCAGAAGAUUCAAGACAGGAAAAUCUUGAGAAAUAAAUGUCACCUUAAGAUUAAAAGCUCCCUUGGUGUCACCGGAAGUAAAUAGACAAAUACCUCAUGAAGGGGACCAGAACCAUCACAAAGAGGAAGGUCAAUGACAUCCCUAAAGGACAACAAUGUUCAAAGUCGUAGUUUCUUCUAGUUAAAUACCUGCAAUCAUUUUCAAAGUUCCCACAUUUGGAAAUCAAGAUUGGAGGUGAAAAAUAAAAAGUUCCAAACUCAGAUCUCAAAAGAAAAAAUUGCUUGUUAUUGAAUAGAGUUGGACCGAAUCCAGAAAGAUAUUUGUGAAUUGUGAUGCUAAUGUCCAAAAGAUACAGCAGCAGCAGCUUUGUUUGUGGCCUCCUCCUCUGAUGGGUUCAACUGAAGCGAGCCAGAAGACAGGCAGAGGAGCUGGUUGCCUCAUAUUCCAUCCUGUAAUGGCUAAUAAUUUUCUUCCCAACAAUGUAGGAACUGAUGGGUUUAAAGACUGCCACUUGUCUGCCCAAUCAGAUCUAAAAUAACUACCAAGACGGUCAAUUUCCAUCAGUAAAGUGAUUAACAUCUUUCAGUGACAA
Molecule: long non-coding RNA, 2935 nt
Organism: Ricinus communis (castor bean)
Lineage: Eukaryota; Viridiplantae; Streptophyta; Magnoliopsida; Malpighiales; Euphorbiaceae
Exons: 6
Source: RefSeq, a predicted model, not a curated record